RNAcentral lists this long non-coding RNA (8419 nucleotides) under Musa acuminata (dwarf banana). RNAcentral's name for it is "long non-coding RNA (MACU_LNC004208)". Lineage: Eukaryota; Viridiplantae; Streptophyta; Magnoliopsida; Zingiberales; Musaceae. The record is from RNAcentral.
GUCGCGGUGUUCGGCCAUUAGGCCUCGUGACAUGAGCUCAGGAAAGGUCAAAUCCAGGGAGAAGGUAAAAUAGAAAAUGUCGCACAGUGCACAGACAUGCUCUGCUGUCUCCCAUGAUGAGCUCUAACAAGUGAGCCACUGUGCAAGUUGUGAAUGUGACGUUUGCGGUGUUCGUCCCCACAAACAAAAAGAACAGACGAUUAAUAUGUUGACAGCGAUUGACGAAAGCAGUGGUCAAGAUGGGAGUCCGAGGGAGAAGAAGGAGAAGAAGAAGGAGAAGAGAGGAGAGGAGGACGGCACCGUGAAUGUUAUAGUGGAGAGCGUGUCGUUCUUUUUGUAGGUCGUCUUGGCGUCUGGGACGGCGGCGUGAAGCAUGCAGACGAGUGACUGCCACUGGUUGAUGCUGAUGGAAUCGCCCACGAACAUAAUCUUCUUGCCUUUCCACCUCCUCAGGAGAUCCAAACCGUUGAACCUUCACAAGAGCAUGCAUUAAAUGCAAGCGGCUGCCCGGUAAUGAACGAAAGAGAGGAAGAAGAAGCUGUGGUGGUGGCGGUAACAGCAACCAACCUUGGGAGCUCACAAGCAUCAGGCUUCCACCGGUACUUGAGGUACGACUUGUCGGGCCGGCCAUAGCGCUGGCAGUCGAACUCCGGAUCGAGGAUGGGGCAGGUGGAGGAGUCGUAGAGCGGGUAGGACUGGUCGUAGACCCAGCUGCCUCGGAACAUGUUGCAGCUGAUGCCGCUCGCUCCCUCCCUUCUCCCCGGCGACGUGCCAUUGCCAAGAUGAUGCGUGUGACCGAAGCUCUCGGUCGCCGUGCCAUUCAAGGAGGCGAUCAGCACCGACAGCAGCGCACAGAGCAGCACGAAACUCCAUUGAGCUCUCGAUCCCAUGACAAAGGAAGGAAGAAGAAAGAAGAAGUGAUGGAGAAAGAGAGAGAGAGAGAGGCUUCAAGGAGAUCUAUCUAUGUAGCGUGAAGAAUAAAUAUAUAGUAAAUCCAUGAAGCGAGAAGUCUAAGGAGAGAAAGGGGAGGGACAGAGGGAGUGGACCGAGGCUGAGGCUUGAAAUGGUCGGCAGUGAAUGGCAUGCACUACCGGAUGUAUAAAGUGCAAGUAUAUGCUUUUGGUAGCCUUUUUUCUUUUCUAUUUUUUCCCCAAAAAGAAAACUAUUAUUGCUUAGAUUCCACAAUAACGAAUCAAUGAUAAAAGAUAAGGGAGUCAAUCAUUCUCCUCUCAAAAAUAAAAAUGUUUUAGUAUUUUUAGUAUUGUUGGCCAGCUAAUAAGUCAUAUAGUUAAGUUUCUUUAUAUUCAUGAUAGACAGAAUAUGUCUCAAAUGAUUCCAACAAAAAUCAAAUGUCAUGCAUAAUAUUGAGUAACGAACAAAGAGCAACACAUUUCUUGUCUAUCACACAAACCAUAAUCAUCAAGUCAGAUUCAAUUGGAGUUUUUCUUAUACCAUCAGAAACUACAACACAUAAGCUCUCUCACACUCCUACUACUGCUUUAAUUGAAAAAAGACCUCAUAUACUUUCAUGAACCUGCAUCCAAAUCACUUCUAAUAACAAAACCAAUACCUCAUUCAAAUGAGACUUUGAAGGCAUUCAAUUUCAACUUAACACAUUGCGCUUAAAGGUGUCGCCCCUCGCUUUGCUCGCUGUCCGCUCGUUCAUACAGUAAAAAAAGACUAGUUUUGGAUUGUUUUUGGGUUGUUUUCGCAUGAUGUAGUGAUUGUAGCGAGUGACGCGAAACGUCAGUCAUCUCAGCACCCUAGAACCCCCCGGGUGACACAGGGUUAUAUGGGAUUUUCGGAUAAUAGGGAAGGUGUUGCGUCUUGCUUCGCUCACUCCGUCGCUCGUCGCUCACUCGUGCAGUCAAAAAUGGCCAGUUUUGGGCUAUUUUUAGACCGUUUUCGCAUGCUGCGACGACCGCAGUGAGCGGUGUGAAAUGUCAGCCAUCUCAACACCUUGGAACCCCCCGGGUGGAACAGGGCUGAAUGAGACAUUCGGAUAACAGGGAAGGUGUCGUCCCUCGCUUCGCUCAUUGUCCGUCGCUCACCGCUCGCUCACACGGCCAAAAAUGACUAAGUUUGGACUGUUUUUGGGCCAUUUUUUUAUGUUGUGAUGACUGUAACGAGCGAUGCGAAACGUUAGUCAUCUCAGCACCUUGGAACCCCCUGGGUGGCAUGUGCUGCGUCAACCGUGCAUAGUGCAAGAAGGUAAUUUGGCCUCAUCAUUAGCUAUGAUUAUUCUAUGUAAAAUCUUAUUAGGAGAGGAGGCAUUCUGAAUAAAAAUUAUAUCAUUUCUUCCAAGCUAGAUCCACCAAAGGCCAGUAGCAAUUAAUGCCCAAUGGUUCUGACUCACCACCACUAUCAAACCAUUUACCAUUCACCCAGUUCACAAAAAAAUAAAAAUUUUACCUUAAUUUUGGAUUUGAAGAGAUGCCAUAGAGAAAUAAAGAAGAAACAUUGAGAAAAAGAUAGUAAUCAAUAGAUUCAACAACCAAACAAAAAAGAGUAGUAUUGAGGACCACAAAAUGUCAAUCAUAGAAUUGUUGCCUAUUAUAGAUUGCUGAGAACUGUUGUGACCAUAAUUUCUCACUUACUCUAUUAGCUCAAUAUCUAAUCCAUACACAGCAAAUGCAAGAAAGAUAUCACCUCAUUAAUAAAUUAAAAAUGGCUGUGACUGUUAUUUUAAUAAGAGACUUGGCACAGCAGCAAACUCCUACAGUAAUUUGCAGUUGGCAAGACAAAAUGAUGGAUAGAGCAAGUGGACUAUUCCAUACAUCUAUCUCUUCUCUUUGAUGUCCUGAUUAUUAAUAAUAGGCUCCACUCUCCAUGAUGAUUGAUGAUUGAAGCAGACCCUACACACAGUUGGCAUUAGGAUUCCUUGAAGCCUACUCUUGCAUCCAAAAAGAAGUUGCUCCCUAAUCACUUGCAAGCAGCAGAGUAACAGGUAUGUGUUUUUGGCCAAGUUGAGCUAUUAACUUGUUUAUGGAGAAGAGAUGAAGAUUGAGAAUAGAUAUAAACUUUAUCUUAAAUUUGUUGCAUCUAACAUAUCAUUUUUUUUCAAAAUUAAUAAAAUAUUUUAAAUUUUAAGAGAUUUUAUAAGUAUAUCGACCGUUUGUUCACUUCUCUUGACAAUAUUAACUUGCCCGAGUUUAGCAUUAUUGAUGCCUUCAGCGCACUCAACAGCAUUAACAUGAGUGUCAAAAGUUCUACUUUCUCCGUUUUGCCAUAUUUCUUCUAGUAAUCCUUUACACGGUCCUCAUUCCAUACAGCAGGCAACCCAUCAAUAAAUUAACAUGUGACAUGAUUUCAUCAUUUGGCUCAAUAAAAGAAUCUGCAAAGGAAAUCAUAGCAAUGCUAUCAACUCCAAAUACUAUAUCUGUAAGCAUCCAUUGUUUCAGAGCUUGAUGACAACUCCAGAAAUGCAAAACCACAGUUCAUUCUUGGUAUCUUCAACCAAGGACAAAUCUUUCAUAUUUUUAACUCCAUAGCUUUUUAGUUUUCCUAAAAUUUCCUUUGCCCAUGACCUACAGAUAUUACCCACAAAGUGUCACUGUCUUCACUUGGAGCAACACGUGCUUACCUCUCACCACAGGAUUCUUGAGCUCUAAAGCUAGCAUGAAAAAAAAGUAAAGCAAUUUUAUCAUUAUUAAUAUCAAUUCUCCAAACCACAUCAUAUAGUUUCUAAAUCAUUCUUAUCCUUUUUAUAAUUAGACUUCUUGAAUCAUAUAACAUAAUUGGGUGAUGAUUCAGACAAAAACUCUUUAGUGUUUGCUUGUAUUAUAUCAUCAUCUUAUGAAGCUAUAGUUUUCUUAUGACAACACUUUAAUCCUAGUGUCCCCACAUGAGUAGUUAUGAGAUCAAUUAUCUCCAUCAUAUAGACAAAUAUACAGCACAUCAGUCUGUUCGGCUAUCUCGAUGUCCCUCUCGAGUAACUUAUGACUAUGAUUAUUUAGAAUAUGUAUUUAAAGGUGAAUUGGUCUUAUUAUCGUGAUCUUAUCACGAUCCGAUUCCUAUUGCAUAGAUCCAUGGAGACCAUAAUAUAUUUAUGCAUCAAGUAAUAUAAAGUAAAAAAAUAUCAUAAUAAUACUAAGUAAAAAGAGUGUAUGUCAUAUCACACAUGUCAUCACUCACGUGAUUGGCUUGUAAAGCAUUUAUGACUAGCAACUCCCACAGAGGUUCCAUUCGAUGAUCAGUCGAUGUCUCCUCUGGCCUUACCUCCUCUUGCCUGAUGCAAUUGGGUCUUGAUGACCCUUUUUGUUUCUUAUUAGCUCUUGUUUUAUAGCCUCUCUUUCGGGAUGAUAUUUGCUUUUAUAACUUAUUUUGUCUAAUUUAAUGAAAACCUCUUUGGAAUGUACCGUUCGCCCUUCGAAUGAUUCUUGAGCGAGCUCGGGAAUGUUUGAAAUCCUUUUCCCUUGCUUUGCAUUACCACUUCGUGGGGCGGGAGAUCCUAAGCCUCGGGUAUCAUUGGAGCAUCCCCUGGGGAGUCAUCAAGUGUUUGGCUCCAACUCUCUCGCAAGCGGGGAAAGCUAUGUACCAGCUUAAAGGGGUCAAGGGGCGAAUUGCUAGGGGCAUAGCAGGAGUGCGGAGCCAUGGAUGCUCGACCCCCUGACGCCGAAGCCUAAGAGAUGCUUCUAACAAGGUAAGCAUGGGGCUCACCUCCGCCCCUUGGGAAAAGGAGGAGGGGCCCUCCUUGUCUUAUACGUUCAUAAAAAAGGAGGUAGAAGGAUGUGUCUAUAAUGUUUGACCUUCCUUCUAGCGUUAAAAUAAUGGUGUCAUAAGUACUAUCGAUUGACGAGUCAGCAUGGUUGGUCCAUUGCUGAAGGUGCAUGUUCACCCAGGUGCCUCUUCUUGGCUAACGCGAUUGACUUGGUGAGGUGAGACCACGUGGGUAGUCCGGUUGGAAGUCAUUUUGUUAGCAUGGACUCAGUUCGGGAUGACCAGGUAGGCGGUCUAGGAUCUUCUUGGUUGUAAGGUUCCUCCCCGAGGAUGGGUCAUCUGGGUAUCCUCGGGUGAAGGGUUAUCUCGUGGUUAUUUGGCUACGUCCUGACAGCGGAGUCACCUCCUAUCCAUCGACAAUCCUACAUGAUAGGUUAGCGUUGGGGGUUACUCAAUGCCACCCCUCCGAUACUUAAGUCAGUGAAGGGGAGAAGACAACAGUGUAAGCUGUAUAAAUAUAUGAGUGUGUAGAGAGUCCCCCCUCCGUGUGAAUUGGCGUAUUCCUUUUUAUACUUGAUCUAUAGGACUUCUUACUGACUGGUCUGAGAUAAAAUUAGGUAAAUCGUCUGAUCAUUCUCUGAUCUUGAUAAGGUAGGAUGGUCAUCGAGAUACCCUGUAGUACCAUUUUAGCGUCGGCCUCGAAUGAGCUGGCGUGGGAAAAUUCAUCCCUAUCAAAUGGUCAUUAGGAGACACUCUUAAAUAUUUUGAUGCUAUCGAGGAAAGGCUUGCUAUUGCUCCGAUAGUUUCAGGAAGUUUGCAAGUAAACGAGAGAGUGACUAUUGUUCAUCACACAAAGAUGUUCUUACGUGAAAAUUAGUUAUUAGAUCAGCUUUUGCAUUUAUGCUUUUUUUAUCAAUAAUGUGAGAAAUGUCUUCUUUCUGACCCACAGCAGAGCAUCAUCUUCAUAACUAAUAAUGUUUAGUUAGUCAAAUUCUUUGAGGCUCGAUUCGUAAUCUUGCCUAUAAUACAGAGAUGUCACUAGUAACUUAAGAACAUAAUAUACUUAAUCAAGUCCCUCGAGAGUAUAUCAUCGAAUCAGACUCAUCUUGUAACAAUGGUAUUGAGUUAACCGAACAUCAUGGUUGGUCGAGUCCCUCGAGACCAUGAUGGUUCAGAGGCCGAACAUGACAAAAAUCACAAAAAGUUAUGGUCGAUAAGAGUUACUAACCUUUUGAGUAUAGAAUAAUUGGUCAAGUCAUCAAGGUUAUACUAAGAUGCUGAUUGAAUCCCGAUCCUUACUAGGAGUCCACUUGAGACUAUAGCAAAAGCAACAGGAUACGAAAAAUUACUUAGUGCUUCAUUGGGAUAAGUUUGGAUAAUGAUGAUCCAAGCAAAAAGCUAUUGGAGCCAAUAGUGCAGAAACUUGUAUGCAAGUAUAGAGGAACAGGAUGGCCAAUAUGUUGACAUCGACAGAUCCUAUGCUGAGGUAUACUUCAAAUAAAUAAUCUGUUCAUGUAGGAGCUCAGUGUAAGCAUCUAAACAGAAACAAUGCAUGCAGUAUACAAGUGCUAGUGUUACCUUUAAACAUGCGUUUGUCAGGUUUUCCUAUCACUUUCCUGUUGAAUGCAUGUUAAUAACCAUGAGGUCUGCUUGUAAACAGAGAAAGUUGGAUCAGUAAAUGAAACCAUUCUUAAAUUGAGUUCCACUGAAACUUAUUAGCAUGACAAAGGACAAUGUUACAAUCUGCCUCUACUUGAGGCUUCUCUUUUGAUUUUGUAAUUUAAGCAGAGGAUCGUUUCUCAGUAAUGAAGGCACCAUUCGAAUCAGGAAUACCAUAAACAUCAUGUGAUCAAUCACCAAUUCACCAAUCGAUGAUAGAUCAGAUAAUUCUUGCUAACUGGUUACCAGUUGCAUGCUUUGGCAGUCUUUGCAAAAAUCUUGUUGCAGGUAUCGGUUCCGUCAAAGAAGUGCUGCAUACAGGAUCUGAUUCCAAGUAUCGGGAACGCCAGCGAGACACCAGUGGCUGCAGUCCAUACCAGGAUGAUCUCCACUGUACGCAGACGGGUGCGCAUCUAUUCUUAGCUGAGAAAGCAAGGUUAUAUCGAGCAGGUAGACUGGUUUGGACAUGGCGCCGAGGACGCUCGUCACUACUCCUUGAGCUGGAACCGGACCACCUGGGUAAGUCGAUCCGUUUACUGGUUGCGUUUGUCUGUAACAGUUCUUUGCGUUCUUAUCCCCCCAUUCUGCUCCCCUGUUGCCAAAACGAAGGAAGAAGUCAGUGAGAUCAGCUUCAUGAAACAGAAGCCACAGGAUUCACAGUGCUAUCUGUAUAACGCAACUUGUAAUGGGUGGGGGAGAUCCCUUGGAAGAAGACUUUGGUUGCGGCAGGAUUGAUGUUGGCAUCCACCCAUUUGGCCCACGUAGUCAGCCCCUUGUUGAAGGCCACCAACCGAUCCAUGUCCUUCAGAACUUGGUCUCCAUCUCGCACAUAGUCCCAUCUGCGCCACAAAGUUGCUUCUUGUCAUACAGGGUGAGAGGAGAGGGGAGGCAAGAAGAGCUUUGGGGGAUCUGUGAGCAGGGCAGGUCUCACACGGUUGCUUUUUCCCGUUGUGUGACCACCAGUGCCAUGUGUUGAAGACCAGCAUGUCGAUGCCCAGCCAGGCCGCACCGGACUGGAUGGAGUCGAGCCUCAGCACGCGGCCGAUGGGUUCCUCCACGAUGUCCACCAGGUAGGUGCUCUGGUACCGGAUCACCGACACGCCAUAGUCCUGCAAUACUGCAUCUGGUUAGCUGUCCUUGCAUUCAUGUGCCCUGUUGUCUAAAAUCCAAGACAAACGACGACUGUGCUCGAAGUAGCAGGUCAGCUGUACGCUUCAGAUAAGUUCGCCAUGAAGAUCUCUGUCGGGUUUCUCCUCUCUCCUUCAUUCUUCUCGGGUACAUGACGGAAGAUACUAGUUUGAUGUGCAGUGCUGCUGUUGGAUCUGGAAUCCCUGCUGCUCACACAUGGUAAAACCUUUGUUGUACAUGAGUUUUGGCACCCGAUAAUCUUUGUGCCAGAUUGCAGAACGAGGGAAAAGAAGAAAUCAGAGGAAUUUGGAUGUGUACUUUAUCCUUGCCAUUGGGUUGACUUCACUUACAGGACAGACACGGAGGAUAACAUGAGAAAAGUUGGAUCAAGAAACAGGUUGAGUGAUGGGAGAAUAAGCUAUCAAAUUUCCCAAUCAUCUGUUGGCAGUGAUAAAGUUUACGUAGGUUGAAAUAUGCACUAACUACGAUGCAUAGAUGUUACACUCCAUGCUGAGGCCUGACGCAGAAUACGGUGAGUGAAAACACUCGUUCCAGCCUAUCAACUCGAUGCAAUAGUUGCAGGAUCUCGAGGAGGUCUCUCAGUAUUAAAACCCAAAGGGCUUAUCGUCGCGGUGUUCGGCCAUUAGGCCUCGUUACAAUGAGCUCCGGAGAGAUCAAAUCCAGGGAGAAAAUGUUGUGCAAGUUGUGAAUGUGACGUUUGAGUUGUUCGUCCCCACAAACAAAAAGAACAGACGAUUAGUAUGUUAACAGCGAUUGACGAAAGCAGUGGUCAUGAUGGGAGUCCGAGGGAGAAGAAGAAGAAGAAGAAGAAGGAGAAGAGAGGAGAGGAGGACGGCACCGUGAAUGUUAUAGUGGAGAGCGUGUCGUUCUUUUUGUAGGUCGUCUUGGCGUCGGGGACGGCGGCGUGAAGCAUGCAGACGAGUGACUGCCACUGGUUGACGCUGAUGGAAUC